UAGGGAAUCUUCGGCAAUGGACGAAAGUCUGACCGAGCAACGCCGCGUGAGUGAAGAAGGUUUUCGGAUCGUAAAACUCUGUUGUUAGAGAAGAACAAGGACGUUAGUAACUGAACGUCCCCUGACGGUAUCUAACCAGAAAGCCACGGCUAACUACGUGCCAGCAGCCGCGGUAAUACGUAGGUGGCAAGCGUUGUCCGGAUUUAUUGGGCGUAAAGCGAGCGCAGGCGGUUUCUUAAGUCUGAUGUGAAAGCCCCCGGCUCAACCGUGGAGGGUCAUUGGAAACUGGGAGACUUGAGUGCAGAAGAGGAGAGUGGAAUUCCAUGUGUAGCGGUGAAAUGCGUAGAUAUAUGGAGGAACACCAGUGGCGACGGCGGCUCUCUGGUCUGUAACUGACGCUGAGGCUCGAAAGCGUGGGGAGCAAACAGG
This 429-nucleotide ribosomal RNA is filed under the name Gemmatimonadota bacterium. Its description in RNAcentral is "Gemmatimonadetes bacterium partial 16S ribosomal RNA". It matches the Rfam family "Bacterial small subunit ribosomal RNA", at positions 355 to 776 of the family's 1533-position model. The record is from RNAcentral. Lineage: Bacteria; Pseudomonadati; Gemmatimonadota.